GAUGAACGCUAGCUACAGGCUUAACACAUGCAAGUCGCGGGGCAGCAUGGGGGUUGCUUGCAACCCCUGAUGGCGACCGGCGCACGGGUGAGUAACGCGUAUCCAACCUGCCCUUCACCACGGGAUAACCCGGCGAAAGUCGGACUAAUACCGUAUGUUGUCCAUUGACGGCAUCUGAGUUGGACGCAACGCUUGGGGGUGAAAGGACGGGGAUGCGUCCGAUUAGCUUGACGGCGGGGUAACGGCCCACCGUGGCUACGAUCGGUAGGGGUUCUGAGAGGAAGGUCCCCCACACUGGAACUGAGACACGGUCCAGACUCCUACGGGAGGCAGCAGUGAGGAAUAUUGGUCAAUGGGCGUAAGCCUGAACCAGCCAAGUAGCGUGCAGGAUGACGGCCCUAUGGGUUGUAAACUGCUUUUAUGCGGGGAUAAAGUGGCCCACGUGUGGGCUUUUGCAGGUACCGCAUGAAUAAGGACCGGCUAAUUCCGUG
Molecule: ribosomal RNA, 491 nt
Filed under: uncultured bacterium
Lineage: Bacteria
Description: partial 16S ribosomal RNA
Rfam family: Bacterial small subunit ribosomal RNA
Source: RNAcentral